AGAGUUUGAUCAUGGCUCAGGAUAAACGCUGGCGGCGUGCCUAACACAUGCAAGUCGAACGCUCUUGGAAACAAGAGAGUGGCGGACGGGUGAGGAACACGUGGGUGAUCUACCUUUGGGUGAGGAAUACCGGCGAGAAAUCGCCGACAAGACCGCAUAAGCUCGCGGAAGCGAGGAAAGUCGAGAGACGCCGAAAGAUG
RNAcentral lists this ribosomal RNA (200 nucleotides) under uncultured bacterium. RNAcentral describes it as "partial 16S ribosomal RNA". It matches the Rfam family "Bacterial small subunit ribosomal RNA", at positions 8 to 227 of the family's 1533-position model. The record is from RNAcentral.